RNAcentral lists this ribosomal RNA (493 nucleotides) under uncultured bacterium. RNAcentral's name for it is "bacterial SSU rRNA". It matches the Rfam family "Bacterial small subunit ribosomal RNA", at positions 903 to 1397 of the family's 1533-position model. The record is from RNAcentral.
AAAGGAAUUGACGGGGGCCCGCACAAGCGGUGGAGCAUGUGGUUUAAUUCGACGAUACGCGAAGAACCUUACCGAGGCUUGACAUCCCUCGCUACUUUGGGAAACCAAAGGUUCCCUUCGGGGACGAGGAGACAGGUGGUGCAUGGCUGUCGUCAGCUCGUGUCGUGAGAUGUUGGGUUAAGUCCCGCAACGAGCGCAACCCUUAUCCUUAGUUGCCAGCAUUAAGUUGGGGACUCUAAGGAGACUGCCGGCAAAGAGUCGGAGGAAGGUGGGGAUGACGUCAAGUCAGCAUGCCCUUUAUGCUUCGGGCUACACACGUGCUACAAUGGUCGGUACAGAGGGUCGCGAAUCCGCGAGGAGGAGCCAAUCCCAAAAAGCCGAUCUCAGUUCGGAUUGUAGGCUGCAACUCGCCUACAUGAAGCCGGAAUCGCUAGUAAUCGCGAAUCAGCAUGUCGCGGUGAAUAUGUUCCCGGGCCUUGUACACACCGCCCGU